Long non-coding RNA from Crotalus tigris (Tiger rattlesnake), 1055 nucleotides. RefSeq lists it as uncharacterized. NCBI's taxonomy places the organism in Eukaryota, Metazoa, Chordata, Lepidosauria, Squamata, Viperidae. The transcript is spliced from 3 exons. The record is from RefSeq and is a predicted model, not a curated record.
CUCCCGGUUGCUCUUCGUUUGGGGAACGAAGGAGAUAUUUCAAUAUAAAAUGUGGGCGAAACGAGACGGCUUACUAAAAACACAAAGCAAGACGAAAACAGUACGCGGUCCAUAGUAGGUAAUAGGCAAUUAGAGAACCAGUUUGGUUUAGUGCUUAAAGGCACCUGUCUAGAAAGCAGGAGACUGAGUUGCAGCCCCGUUUUAGGUAUGAAAGCCGGCUGGGUGACUUUGGGCCAGUCACUCACGCUCAAUCCACGAGGCUUCGGCAACAAGGUCCCUGUCGCAACCAAUGGAUCAACACUCGGUGGAUCCGAAAAGCAGAUCCUCUUUUUACGGGGAAAAAGGUUGGAAGAAAAAAAUCGGAGACAUAUGCUAUGGGAUAUUUAAAAAAAGUCAAGAUUACAGCCACAACUAUGCAAUUGAAGCCCCACCUCUUUUAAAGUGCAUAUAUUGAAAAGGACUGUUUACAGAGACACAGAAAUUCUAUUUCCAGUUCGGAUGAAGAAAAGAGAGGAGGCCAUUCAGUGUAUGUGUUAUUUAUGUAUUUAUGCUUCACCCAAAUUGUGAAACCAAUUUUCAUGCUGCAAGCCAGACAUUUUCAAAUGUAAUAUGGUAGCCCUAUGGUACAAAUAUAUAAUGUAUUGAUUGAUAUCCUGUCUUUGAUGUGAUUGUUUGGCCCUUGACAUUUGGAUGGAAUGUAAAUUACCCUGCUGUAAUGGAAAUGACAGAUGCAUUUUGGGAGCAAAGUAUUCUUCAAGGCCGGUUCCACUAACACUGAUACUGAAUUUAUUUUUACUCUUAGCCCUUUUUAUAACCACACUGACUGUUGUUGAUACUAUCAUUAGAGGCUGUGAACAUUGGUUGUGUUACAUCCAAAAAUAAAUAAGUAGGUGUCCUUUGGGGAAAGCUGUAUUGUUGGAACUCUCAUAUAACAAAUACAAGAUCUCUAUGUCACAAAAUUUCUAUAAUUGGAAUCCUAUUCUUUUUUUAAGUUUAUGGAAUUAUUUCAUCUAUUUGAUCCAUUGACAAAGAUCAAAAGAAAUACAGCAAUAGAA